UACGAAGGGGGCUAGCGUUGCUCGGAAUGACUGGGCGUAAAGGGCGCGUAGGCGGUUUGUACAGUCAGGUGUGAAAUUCCCGGGCUCAACCUGGGGGCUGCACUUGAUACGUAGGAACUGGAGUGGGGAAGAGGGUCGUGGAAUUCCCAGUGUAGAGGUGAAAUUCGUAGAUAUUGGGAAGAACACCGGUGGCGAAGGCGGCGACCUGGUCCUUGACUGACGCUGAGGCGCGAAAGCUAGGGGAGCAAACGGG
Molecule: ribosomal RNA, 253 nt
Filed under: uncultured bacterium
Lineage: Bacteria
Description: partial 16S ribosomal RNA
Rfam family: Bacterial small subunit ribosomal RNA
Source: RNAcentral